Haemorhous mexicanus (house finch) is the source of this 4514-nucleotide long non-coding RNA. RefSeq lists it as uncharacterized. Lineage: Eukaryota; Metazoa; Chordata; Aves; Passeriformes; Fringillidae. The transcript has 5 exons. The record is from RefSeq and is a predicted model, not a curated record.
AGGGUCACCCGGCCGUGUCGGGGUUCGCCCCGCGCUGCUGCUCCGGUGCCAGCGAGCAUCUAAGCAGUUGCCGGCGCCGCGGAGCCCGGGAGCCGGGAGAUGCCCGGCGGCGCCGGGGCCCGGCUUCCCGGGCACGAACGGGAUGAGCACGCAGCGAACAGCCCCCCUCAACCUGGGUAUCCCUGGGUGCUCUGUCCCCCGCUCAAGUUGGGGGCCCUUGAAUUGUAUUGCCUCGUUAAAGUUUAAUAUUUGGGGAUAGGGAGGAGAGUUUCAGCUUCUGUUGUGGCGUCUUUUCUUUUCCUGGCUGUUAAGUACUUCCAGAUGGGAUUUAGACCCCAGACGUAACAAUAUUUCCAUAUUUGGUAUAGCAGUAGCCCGCAUUUUUCACAUUUUUCUGCUCUGUUAUCCAACCACAAAGCAUUCUUGACAGCUUCAGAUGUUGUUAAAUAUAGCCUUAACUUCUGUUCCCAGGGCAGGAAAUUCUUAGGAAUUCCUGUUUUUCACGCAAUCUGUCUAUCAUGAUUUAGGAGAACUCUGCUGGAGGAGCCAACUGGCGUUCUGCUGCAGUUCGCUUCUUUAUUGAAAUAGCCCAGCAGUUGGGUCUGCUGCCCAAAGGCGUUACAAUGAGUCCCCAUUCCAGGGAUUUUUCUUUGCAAAUGAGAUUACUGUUCCCAACACGAGUUUGGGGUUUUUCUUGUCGCCUUCAAGGCCGGAAGCGGGUGUCCCUGCGUGCCGCCCGCCCGGGACGGGCAGCCGGGGAGGGGAGGCAGCCGCAGCCCCGCCGCUCGGAGGAGCCGAGCCCGGUCGUCUCGUCGCCUGCCCGGUGCCACGGCCCAAAGGGUGACAGCAAGGACGGUGCGCAGGGCUCCGGCCUGUGUCUCUCCGGGGAAAGGACUUUCCAGAGAAACAAAUCAAGAAAAAAAAACUGGCUUAAUUUCCAUCCACCCAGCAACAGUUCUUCCUAGCUGUACAAAGGGACCAUGGAGCAGCCAGAAGGGUUGUGUGGGACAGAGGCUCCCCAGGUGCUCCCACUGGCAGAUGAGAAGACUGUUGAUAGCACACUCUUUCAGUUGUUGCUGAGCAGUGCUUGCACUAAGUUGAAGACUUUUCAGCUCCUCCCCCCACUCCACCAAAGAGGCUGGGAAGCACAAGAAGCUGGAAGAAGACACAGCAGAGACAGCUGAUCCCAACGGGCCAAAGGGACAAUUCUGUAUCAUAUGACACAUGGUCAGUAUGUACACUAGGGGGAAGCUGGCCAGGGGCCCCUGCUUGGGAACUGGCUGGACACUGGUCAAGGGAUGGUGGGGAAUUGCCUUGGGCAUCACUUAUUUUGUAUGUUCCUUAUUACUAUUCCUAUUCCUAUUACUCUUACUUUGCACCCUUUUCUGUUCUAUUAAAGUGUCUCUGUCUAACCCACAGGCUGCAUGUUGCUCCCCAUUCCUCCCCCAGCCCGCUGCAGCCCAUGAGCGGCUCUGUGGUGCUCAGCUGCCUGCCGGGUGAAACCACAACAGUGUUUACCUACCUUGGGCUGGGCCUCUCCCGCAGCCUCUGCCAGGCCGCUGGUUCCUGCUGCACUAAAUCAGUCCUCCCUGACUCAAUGGCUCCACUCAGUCACUCACAGGAGGUGCAAAUCCAGUGGGGCAAAUUAAGCAUAGCAAUGCACAGGCAGAGCUGCCAAGUAGCCAGGAGGCUUCGGCAGCUAAAAUUCAAGUGGGUUCAGAAGUUUUUCCUUGCUUUGAUUUGCUCAGAGUUUAUGCUGAAUUCUUUUGAGUAUGGUAUUUCCUAUUUGUUUUCUUCCUCUUCCUUACUGCCCUCCCUUCAGCUAAGCUCAUGCCUGUCAGUUUUUGUACAGUCUGUGCCUUGCUUGUGGUUUCUAAUAUGUGGGGUUUGCUUUGCAGUAUUUGUGCAGUGAAAGAUGCUGUGCUUUGUGAGUGUGCUGCAUUUUCUCCUGGCUGCUGUCAAGGUGUCGUGGAGGUUCCCAUUGUGUGGAAGUACAAGGGCGACUUGUAAGCCUCCUUAUCCAGCAGGGAAACAGAGAAGGAAAAUCUGAUGUCAUAUUCAGUUGUGCUUAUUUCUGCUUUGGUGUGUGAACUGCAUGGCCAUACUUGCAGCUUACAUGGAUACAAGGAUAUCUGCAACUGACAUGGAGGUGUACUUCAACACUAGGCUACAUCCAGAAGAUGCAGUUUGCAUCAAGCACCUCCCUAUAGCUGAAGUUUGCAAUGCUGAGACUGUUGUGGGCUGUGUCUCUCUAUGCCACAAAAUAAAAAUUAUCAGGUGGUCCUAGCUGCACCUGGCUGCAUAUGUAUUGGUUAUGUCUAUUGUUUUCAUCCCAUGCACUCAUGAAGCUGAAAACAUCUUAACUUUAAACUGUGGUCUUCAGAGUGCAGAAUUUCCCAGUGGAGCUGUGCAUGUGCACUGACAUCAGCUAAGACAAAAUAACCAAGCUCAGAAGAAAGUUGCUCAUGAUCUCAAGGAGUUACUGGAGCCAGCUGAACCUGAGAUUGCAGUCAAUUGGGCUGUGCCUGAGAAAUCCUUGAUCAAAGCACACUUCCAGGCUGUGCUCUGUAAUGGUUGUCAGCUGCAGUCUGCCUUAGUCUACAGCCAAACUGCACCUUGGAGACAACCAGCUCCUGCUUGUAUCUGCACUGUGGGACUGUCUGCUCAGAACACGCACUCGUUGGUAGGUUCAGGUUUGUUUCUUUUCCCUGUCUACAUUUGAAAUAUACUACAAACUCUUCUUUUCCCAAAAGUGCUUUCUUUCAUUGUAAUUAAUAAUGACAACUACAUUUCCUUCAGGUUAGUCUGUGUUAAGGGUAUGGGAACCCUUUGCCUUCCUGCUGAUGCUUUCCCUCCCUCCCUCCCUGCUGUUUAUGACCUGACAGAAUAGUUUUCUCUCACUGAUUUGUGGACAUUCAAAGGAGUUGCCUAGCCUUUAAUUGUAUUAACAAGUUUUUGUAGAAGUUUUCUUGAAAAACUAAGGAAGUAUUGAUUAAUUAUUUUUUUCUUUGCACACAAAUGGGAGGAGAGGCCUGCUCUGCAGGAUGCUGGACAUGCUCUGCCACACAGUGCUUUCUGUCACUUACUGCGCUUUCCAGGCUAGCUGCUGGAAAUGUCACUGGAUUAAUUUCAGAAUCCCCUAAGGUGCCUGUUGGCUUUGUCCAAAAUCAUUAUCAUUCUCUGCUAUGUACUCAUUUUCUGUAACUAAAACACAGUGAGACCUUAGCUGUGUUUGCUGCAUUACAGUUCAUUUCUAUUCUGCUCCAUCUGGACUCCUACCCUUUUCCCCCCAGUACGUUCUGUGAGCACCUUGCAGUGGCAGCUAGCUAGCUGUGUUCUUCUCUUGGGCAUGCUAAUUUCAUGAGCUAAGUGAUGCAAGAAAGUCAGCCACCACCUCCUCCAGGGGCACUCCACUGCUGGAAAUUAGUUACUUCUGCUUCUUGCUUCCAGUCUGUGAUAGUGCAGUGCAAAAAUCAAUAGUGGACAAACAAUUAGACACAAUGUCAUCCUUGCAGAUAGGGAGGACUUGGAGGCAGACAGCAGAUCAUGUAUGUGCCUUAGGAAUGUUCCUGGAAAUGGAGUUAUGAUCCAAGACUGUGCAAAUAGCUGCCCAUCCCAGUGUUGCAUGCCUGUGAUGGGGAAGAAGUGCUAAACCAUCUCUAGACUUGACUAGCAUACAAACACAAAAGAUCUGUCUUGUUAUGGGGAGCUGGUUGGGGUGAUUUUUCUAGGUGAGUAGAGAAGAAACUAUAUGAAUGGAAUCUUUCUUUACCUUCUCUCUGCUGGGGGCUAAAAUAAAACUGGAGGGAGGAAGGUAGUGAGAGCUGCCCUGAGGAAGGGUGCACAUAUGGGCUCCAUCCAGCAGCUGUGUGCAGAGCCUCAGGGAGAAGGACACCUCUUUGGGCCAGCCAGGAAGCCUGUCUCCUGCCCACUGCUUUCCCAGCCACCAGUGUUCUCCGGAAGUGGAAGGUUAGCAGAGGCUAUCAGCAGACUGCUUUGGUGCAGAGACUUUUUUAUGACUGCAUUAACAUCACUUUUCCUGUUGUUGUACAUAAGUUAUGGCUCCUAGUAUCAGUGUUGAGAUGAAGCCCGGAGCUCUUCUGCAUGAAGCAAGCAUUAAAAGCUAGCUUAUACACUAAUUGUAAAAGAAAAUUAGUUCUGGCCACCAGCUAUUUACUUACAGAUAAGUUUGCUUUUGUAUUUUAAUUCUUUUAACACUUUGCAUCCAUCUCUAUUUUCUUGUACACACUCAACCACGAGUUUGCCAUUGUCCUCUCUCACUGCCUAACCUCGAGUCUGCUUCUAUUAGCCCCCCCAUAAGCUCAGAUCUCAGACUUACAGGAUAAUUCAGGAUCAGAGCAGAGAAGUGGUGGAUAGGAUGGGUCUUUCAGGCGAGCAGUGUGUGAUGACAUGAUAAUGUUUGUAACUGGCUUGAGAGGAGAGCCUCUGGUUCCAAGGAUGUACCCAUGCAGCCUUUAACAGUGCCAUGUCAAAAUAAAAAUCAUUGAUUAAAA